RNAcentral lists this ribosomal RNA (331 nucleotides) under uncultured eukaryote. Its description in RNAcentral is "partial 18S ribosomal RNA". It matches the Rfam family "Eukaryotic small subunit ribosomal RNA", at positions 1470 to 1796 of the family's 1831-position model. The record is from RNAcentral.
CCCUUAGAUGUUCUGGGCCGCACGCGCGCUACACUGACGAAGUCAGCGAGCAUGUCCUACGCCGACAGGUGCGGGGAAUCUUGUCAAACUUCGUCGUGAUGGGGAUUGAUUUUUGAAAUUCUUGAUCAUAAACGAGGAAUUCCUAGUAAGCGCAAGUCAGCAGCUUGCGUUGAUUACGUCCCUGCCCUUUGUACACACCGCCCGUCGCUACUACCGAUUGAAUGGUUUAGUGAGAUCUUCGGAUUGGCGCCACUGCAGCUCAGCAAUGGGCUUGGUGGAUGCCGAAAAGUUGCUCAAACUGUAUCAUUUAGAGGAAGUAAAAGUCGUAACA